CUCUUAUCCUGAGUGGUGGAGGGACAUGGACCCAAGGAAGCCCAGCAACCUCUUCUCAAGUGUGAAGAAAGGUGCCAAACCGUUUGCAGACGCAAGUGUCUGAACGAUAAGAG
This 113-nucleotide non-coding RNA is filed under the name Staphylococcus pettenkoferi. Its description in RNAcentral is "SAM-I sequence". It matches the Rfam family "SAM riboswitch aptamer (S box leader)". Rfam says of the family: The SAM riboswitch is found upstream of a number of genes which code for proteins involved in methionine or cysteine biosynthesis in Gram-positive bacteria. The SAM riboswitch acts at the level of transcription termination control. The record is from RNAcentral. Lineage: Bacteria; Bacillati; Bacillota; Bacilli; Caryophanales; Staphylococcaceae. RNAcentral also lists the same sequence under 1 other name.